UUUACAUUUUUGGGUGAACUGUCCCUUUAACUUGUAUUGAACCCAGACUAUUCCUUUAAAUAUCUAAAUUUAUCUUUGGAUUGUGCGUAAUCCAACAACAAAAUUCUAAUAUUUCAAGUUCUUGUAGUGUCUACUUAUUAUAUUGUAUAUUAGAGUCCCAUAUUUAAAAAUUGCUUGAAUUAGGAAAAUGUUAACAUGACUAUAAAUGAAUGGCUCCAUACUGGCUUUUUGGAGCCUUGUUUAUGGAUAAUAUAAAGACUUGUAAAUGAAUAAAUCAUUAGGAGUUAUGUCCCCCCAUCUGUUAGAGCCUGGAGCCCCUCCUCAUGUACUGCAGAUGUUUAUUCUAAUACCAUAAUAACAGGAGGAUCUGCUGGCACUGAUGUUAUGCACAGAAAAUAUAAAAAGCAUUUUGUUACAUACAAAUUGUGUUAAUAUAGUGGAGCGAAAAGGUCUUUGAGCAAAAAUGUGGGAUGCAAAUUUGAAUUUAUGGGGUAUCCAAGAGACUGCUCUGCUGUAGCCGUUAUCUAUUGCUGGGGUCAUUUUCCAUUGCACCAACCUUCCUGUUCUACAUGCAAGUGUCUUCAGUUGAUGACAACCAGCAAUUAUGGGGCCAAGCACGGCCCACACCAUUUUUGAGGAAUUAGACCAGAGCUUUACACAAUGUACCACACAAACUACAGUCAUGUCCAUUGCCAAAGAGAUAUAACAAGUUGUGAGUCAGCACGCAAAAGCUUUGCAGAGAAAUCUCUUGCUGCUACAGUCAAAUGGUUUUGAAUACAAACAAUCAAUGUGAGAACUUUUUUCCAAUAACACCUACCAAGCUUUGCUUCAAUAGGACAAAGAGUUGCAUAGAUACACUCCACGUCCACACUAACAAGUUUUAGUUUGAAAACGCAUUGAUUUUGCUAUAUUAUUUAGUUUUUUACUUGCUUCAAAUUUGUAAGCGUGUACUUUUGUAGAGGCUGUGGAAAUAAAAAAUCCAU
Molecule: long non-coding RNA, 983 nt
Organism: Myxocyprinus asiaticus (Chinese sucker)
Lineage: Eukaryota; Metazoa; Chordata; Actinopteri; Cypriniformes; Catostomidae
Exons: 3
Source: RefSeq, a predicted model, not a curated record